ACAGCUCAAAAGCCGCAUUUGCUCGUCACGCACUCGCCGAUUCUCUCGGCUUCUCGCGAGCGGGCUAAGGUCUGAGCGUUCUAGUCCCCUUGUAAUUGUGUCUAGCUGGCACCGGCCAUAACAAGCCGAGCAGAGCAUCAGACAUGCGCUCGCUGUUGUUCGUAUCGCCCAGAGACCCGCAAGGAGAGGGUAUAGCAGCAGCUCGAGCUUGGAACAACUCUGCGGGGACCGAGCCGUUUGAUUGCCUUGUCCUAUUUUAACCUCUUUCACACCCAACGCGCUAGUGUCGAGAGCUAGUGCCCGAUUCCUGCCUUUAGAGGAGUUGAGAAAUGGGGCCAUACUAAAUGCCGCUGCAGGGUAUGGCUCUGGAUCGCUUUCCACGCCGAUUGGACCAAGGAAGAAUAACAAGGCCAUCGACAGCGUCGUAACCUUGGCUGUUCUUGUACUCCUGUUCUCCGCAUCGCCCGCUGGCACCGCGGAGGUAAGCAGGCCACGCUUGGUGGUCCGGUUGGUUGCGGUGAUUGAGGAGGUUGGGUCGAGGCCAAACGGCUCUUUAGUUCACUUUGCGGCUCGCAUAUGUUUUCAUUGCGAAACUCGAUUCAGACUACUCUUGGGCUGU
This 619-nucleotide RNase P RNA is filed under the name Rhizoctonia solani 123E. Its description in RNAcentral is "Nuclear RNase P". It matches the Rfam family "Nuclear RNase P". From Rfam's summary of the family: Ribonuclease P (RNase P) is a ubiquitous endoribonuclease, found in archaea, bacteria and eukarya as well as chloroplasts and mitochondria. Its best characterised activity is the generation of mature 5'-ends of tRNAs by cleaving the 5'-leader elements of precursor-tRNAs. Cellular RNase Ps are ribonucleoproteins. The record is from Rfam by way of RNAcentral. Lineage: Eukaryota; Fungi; Basidiomycota; Agaricomycetes; Cantharellales; Ceratobasidiaceae.